Salmo trutta (river trout) is the source of this 2460-nucleotide long non-coding RNA. Lineage: Eukaryota; Metazoa; Chordata; Actinopteri; Salmoniformes; Salmonidae. The record is from Ensembl.
AUGUAUAAACAAAAACACACUUCCUUGACAAUUUCCUUAACAACAGCUUGGCGAAGCACAAGAAGAAUAGGUGGAGCUCCUCCUCAUCACUCUGUUAUUAUUACAUGUAGGUGGAGCUCCUCCUCACCACUCUGUUAUUAUUACAUGUGGGUGGAGCUCCUCCUCACCACUCUGUUAUUAUUAUUACUACAUGUAGGUGGAGCUCCUCCUCACCACUCUGUUAUUAUUAUUACUACAUGUAGGUGGAGCUCCUCCUCACCACUCUGUUAUUAUUAUUACUACAUGUAGGUGGAGCGCCUCCUCACCACUCUGUUAUUAUUAUUACAUGUAGGUGGAGCUCCUCCUCACCACUUUGUUAUUAUUACAUGUGAGUGGAGCUCCUCCUCACCACUCUGUUAUUAUUACAUGUAGGUGGAGCUCCACCUCACCACUCUGUUAUUAUUACAUGUAGGUGGAGCUCCUCCUCAUCACUCUGUUAUUAUUAUUACUACUACAUGUAGGUGGAGCUCCUCCUCACCACUCUGUUAUUAUUAUUACUACAUGUAGGUGGAGCUCCUCCUCACCACUCUGUUAUUAUUAUUACUACAUGUAGGUGGAGCGCCUCCUCACCACUCUGUUAUUAUUAUUACAUGUAGGUGGAGCUCCUCCUCACCACUUUGUUAUUAUUACAUGUGAGUGGAGCUCCUCCUCAUCACUCUGUUAUUAUUAUUAUUACAUGUAGGUGGAGCUCCUCCUCACCACUCUGUUAUUAUUACAUGUAGGUGGAGCUCCUCCUCACCACUCUGUUAUUAUUAUUACAUGUAGGUGGAGCUCCUCCUCAUCACUCUGUUAUUAUUAUUACUACAUGUAGGUGGAGCUCCUCCUCACCACUCUGUUAUUAUUAUUACUACAUGUAGGUGGAGCUCCUCCUCACCACUCUGUUAUUAUUACAUGUAGGUGGAGCUCCACCUCACCACUCUGUUAUUAUUAUUACAUGUAGGUGGAGCUCCUCCUCACCACUCUGUUAUUAUUAUUACAUAUAGGUGGAGCUCCUCCUCAUCACUCUGGUAUUAUUAUUACAUGUAGGUGGAGCUCCUCCUCAUCACUCUGUUAUUAUUAUUACAUGUAGGUAGAGCUCCUCCUCACCACUCUGUUAUUAUUAUUACAUGUAGGUAGAGCUCCUCCUCACCACUCUGUUAUUAUUACAUGUAGGUGGAGCUCCUCCUCAUCACUCUGGUAUUAUUAUUACAUGUAGGUGGAGCUCCUCCUCACCACUCUGUUAUUAUUAUUACUACAUGUAGGUGGAGCUCCUCCUCACCACUCUGUUAUUAUUAUUACUACAUGUAGGUGGAGCUCCUCCUCACCACUCUGUUAUUAUUAUUACUACAUGUAGGUGGAGCUCCUCCUCAUCACUCUGUUAUUAUUAUUACAUGUAGUUGGAGCUCCUCCUCACCACUCUGUUAUUAUUAUUAUUACAUGUAGGUGGAGCUCCUCCUCACCACUCUUAUUAUUACUACAUGUAGGUGGAGCUCCUCCUCAUCACUCUGUUAUUAUUAUUACUACAUGUAGGUGGAGCUCCUCCUCAUCACUCUGUUAUUAUUAUUACUACAUGUAGGUGGAGCUCCUCCUCACCACUCUGUUAUUAUUAUUACUACAUGUAGGUGGAGCUCCACCUAACCACUCUGUUAUUAUUACAUGUAGACCCUACUUUACUUUACUGGCUUGAUUGUCCCUGUGGGGAAAUGUUGUUGCAGUGUCUUGUACACGUUUAAAGUGGCAUUUAAAUACAAAACAAAUUGACAAUACAACUUUCAUAACAGUUACAUAGCAAUAAAACUUGGCAGUUAAAAGCUAAAUAUCAGCACUUACAAGUUUGAACCCAAAAAACAUACAAAUCUGCAUGGAUGGGAGCUGAAGGGUGGAGGGUUGUCUGAGAGUUGAAACAGAACAGAUGGUACUGAGAACGGAGGAAGCGUUCCAGGUCUCGGAGGGAGCCAGUCAGUCAGAGACAGUCAGAUCCGCAGCCUCAGCAACGCACCUCACUGUCCCCUGGCGUCCAGUUUGCUCCGGCUUUGUUGAUGCUGGUUAGCCACUCCUCUCCACAACCCCACUCUAAGACAUGUCCUGUACACAUGAUAUGUGGUGUUUCCUAACGAUUACAGAUCAUUCAUUUUUUAAUCCCACCUCUCUCUGUAGACCCCCCUCUCUUGAUUUCCGUGGGCCAUAUAUAUUUUUUCAACCGUGCUGUGAUGUCUUACAUAAAAUGAAGUCACUGCUUAAGUUAAUUUAAAAAGCACCGUCCUCAUGGCAGUUUCUUGGGUCUGCAUAACUGCUGUUUAGGUCCUGUGCUUACAUAUUUCAGUCUUUCAGACAUCCACAGCUGCAUUCCUUAAUAUUCUAUUGUUUAUGUCCGUUUAUGGGAAAUGCAUAAUCAAGAUGAACAUAACUAUUUUGCUGGUGAUCAGGAGACACUACACAAGU